This 513-nucleotide ribosomal RNA is filed under the name uncultured bacterium. RNAcentral's name for it is "partial 16S ribosomal RNA". It matches the Rfam family "Bacterial small subunit ribosomal RNA", at positions 28 to 523 of the family's 1533-position model. The record is from RNAcentral.
GAUGAACGCUGGCGGCGUGCCUAAUACAUGCAAGUCGAGCGAACAGACGAGGAGCUUGCUCCUCUGACGUUAGCGGCGGACGGGUGAGUAACACGUGGAUAACCUACCUAUAAGACUGGGAUAACUUCGGGAAACCGGAGCUAAUACCGGAUAAUAUAUUGAACCGCAUGGUUCAAUAGUGAAAGACGGUUUUGCUGUCACUUAUAGAUGGAUCCGCGCCGCAUUAGCUAGUUGGUAAGGUAACGGCUUACCGAGGCAACGAUGCGUAGCCGACCUGAGAGGGGGAUCGGCCAAACUGGAACUGAGACACGGUCCAGACUCCUACGGGAGGCAGCAGUAGGGAAUCUUCCGCAAUGGGCGAAAGCCUGACGGAGCAACGCCGCGUGAGUGAUGAAGGUCUUCGGAUCGUAAAACUCUGUUAUUAGGGAAGAACAAAUGUGUAAGUAACUAUGCACGUCUUGACGGUACCUAAUCAGAAAGCCACGGCUAACUACGUGCCAGCCGCCGCCGUAA